AGUGAACGCUGGCGGUAGGCCUAACACAUGCAAGUCGAACGGCAGCACAGUAAGAGCUUGCUCUUACGGGUGGCGAGUGGCGGACGGGUGAGGAAUACAUCGGAAUCUACUUUUUCGUGGGGGAUAACGUAGGGAAACUUACGCUAAUACCGCAUACGACCUACGGGUGAAAGCAGGGGAUCUUCGGACCUUGCGCGGUUGAAUGAGCCGAUGUCGGAUUAGCUAGUUGGCGGGGUAAAGGCCCACCAAGGCGACGAUCCGUAGCUGGUCUGAGAGGAUGAUCGGCCACACGGGAACUGAGACACGGUCCAGACUACUACGGGAGGCAGCAGUGGGGAAUAUUGGACAAUGGGCGCAAGCCUGAUCCAGCCAUACCGCGUGGGUGAAGAAGGCCUUCGGGUUGUAAAGCCCUUUUGUUGGGAAAGAAAAGCAGCAGGUUAAUACCCCGCUGUUCUGACGGUACCCAAAGAAUAAGCACCGGCUAACUUCGUG
This 492-nucleotide ribosomal RNA is filed under the name uncultured bacterium. RNAcentral describes it as "partial 16S ribosomal RNA". It matches the Rfam family "Bacterial small subunit ribosomal RNA", at positions 29 to 507 of the family's 1533-position model. The record is from RNAcentral.